Molecule: ribosomal RNA, 277 nt
Filed under: uncultured bacterium
Lineage: Bacteria
Description: partial 16S ribosomal RNA
Rfam family: Bacterial small subunit ribosomal RNA
Source: RNAcentral
GACGAACGCUGGCGGCGUGCUUAAUACAUGCAAGUCGAACGAGGUUGAUCCAGUUGAAAGACUGGUGACUGCCUAGUGGCGAACGGGUGAGUAACACGUGAGCAACCUGCCCCGAAGACCGGGAUAACAGUGGGAAACCGCUGCUAAUACCGGAUGCCCCCACCGGGUUACAUGGCCUGGUGAGGAAAUGGAUUCCGCUUCGGGAGGGGCUCGCGGCCUAUCAGCUUGUUGGUGGGGUAACGGCCUACCAAGGCUUCGACGGGUAGCUGGUCUGAGA